GAUGAACGCUAGCGGCAGGCUUAACACAUGCAAGUCGAGGGGUAUAGUAGCAAUACUAGAGACCGGCGCACGGGUGCGUAACGCGUAUGCAAUCUACCUUUUGCAGAGGGAUAGCCCAGAGAAAUUUGGAUUAAUACCUCAUAGUAUUAUAGUAUGGCAUCAUAUUAUAAUUAAAGUCACAACGGCAAAAGAUGAGCAUGCGUCCCAUUAGUUAGUUGGUAAGGUAACGGCUUACCAAGACUACGAUGGGUAGGGGUCCUGAGAGGGAGAUCCCCCACACUGGUACUGAGACACGGACCAGACUCCUACGGGAGGCAGCAGUGAGGAAUAUUGGACAAUGGGCGCAAGCCUGAUCCAGCCAUGCCGCGUGCAGGAUGACGGUCCUAUGGAUUGUAAACUGCUUUUGCACAGGAAGAAACAUCCCGACGUGUCGGGACUUGACGGUACUGUGAGAAUAAGGAUCGGCUAACUCCGUGCC
RNAcentral lists this ribosomal RNA (478 nucleotides) under uncultured bacterium. Its description in RNAcentral is "bacterial SSU rRNA". It matches the Rfam family "Bacterial small subunit ribosomal RNA", at positions 28 to 509 of the family's 1533-position model. The record is from RNAcentral.